This 510-nucleotide ribosomal RNA is filed under the name uncultured bacterium. Its description in RNAcentral is "bacterial SSU rRNA". It matches the Rfam family "Bacterial small subunit ribosomal RNA", at positions 15 to 507 of the family's 1533-position model. The record is from RNAcentral.
GAUCAUGGCUCAGAGUGAACGCUGGCGGCAGGCCUAACACAUGCAAGUCGAGCGGCAGCGCGUCCGACCACCCUCGGGUGGUCGGAUGGCGGCGAGCGGCGACGGGUGAGGAAUGCAUCGGAAUCUGCCUCGUUGUGGGGGAUAACGUAGGGAAACUUACGCUAAUACCGCAUACGACCUACGGGUGAAAGUGGGGGACCUUCGGGCCUCACGCGAUGAGAUGAGCCGAUGCCGGAUUAGCUAGUUGGCGGGGUAAAGGCCCACCAAGGCGACGAUCCGUAGCUGGUCUGAGAGGAUGAUCAGCCACACUGGAACUGAGACACGGUCCAGACUCCUACGGGAGGCAGCAGUGGGGAAUAUUGGACAAUGGGGGCAACCCUGAUCCAGCCAUGCCGCGUGUGUGAAGAAGGCCUUCGGGUUGUAAAGCACUUUUGUUGGGGAAGAAACCGGCCGGGUUAAUACCCUGGUUGAAUGACGGUACCCAAAGAAUAAGCACCGGCUAACUUCGUG